CUCACUAGACACUAGCGGCGGACGGGUGAGUAAUGCUUAGGAAUCUGCCUAUUAGUGGGGGACAACAUCUCGAAAGGGAUGCUAAUACCGCAUACGUCCUACGGGAGAAAGCAGGGGACCUUCGGGCCUUGCGCUAAUAGAUGAGCCUAAGUCGGAUUAGCUAGUUGGUGGGGUAAAGGCCUACCAAGGCGACGAUCUGUAGCGGGUCUGAGAGGAUGAUCCGCCACACUGGGACUGAGACACGGCCCAGACUCCUACGGGAGGCAGCAGUGGGGAAUAUUGGACAAUGGGGGGAACCCUGAUCCAGCCAUGCCGCGUGUGUGAAGAAGGCCUUUUGGUUGUAAAGCACUUUAAGCGAGGAGGAGGCUACCGAGAUUAAUACUCUUGGAUAGUGGACGUUACUCGCAGAAUAAGCACCGGCUAACUCUGUGCCAGCAGCCGCGGUAAUACAGAGGGUGCAAGCGUUAAUCGGAUUUACUGGGCGUAAAGCGCGCGUAGGUGGCCAAUUAAGUCAAAUGUGAAAUCCCCGAGCUUAACUUGGGAAUUGCAUUCGAUACUGGUUGGCUAGAGUAUGGGAGAGGAUGGUAGAAUUCCAGGUGUAGCGGUGAAAUGCGUAGAGAUCUGGAGGAAUACCGAUGGCGAAGGCAGCCAUCUGGCCUAAUACUGACACUGAGGUGCGAAAGCAUGGGGAGCAAACAGGAUUAGAUACCCUGGUAGUCCAUGCCGUAAACGAUGUCUACUAGCCGUUGGGGCCUUUGAGGCUUUAGUGGCGCAGCUAACGCGAUAAGUAGACCGCCUGGGGAGUACGGUCGCAAGACUA
Molecule: ribosomal RNA, 820 nt
Filed under: Acinetobacter lwoffii
Lineage: Bacteria; Pseudomonadati; Pseudomonadota; Gammaproteobacteria; Moraxellales; Moraxellaceae
Description: bacterial SSU rRNA
Rfam family: Bacterial small subunit ribosomal RNA
Source: RNAcentral